GAAUGCUGACAUAAGUAACGAUAAAGCGGGUGAAAAGCCCGCUCGCCGGAAGACCAAGGGUUCCUGUCCAACGUUAAUCGGGGCAGGGUGAGUCGACCCCUAAGGCGAGGCCGAAAGGCGUAGUCGAUGGGAAACGGGUUAAUAUUCCCGUACUUGGUGUUACUGCGAAGGGGGGACGGAGAAGGCUAUGUUGGCCGGGCGACGGUUGUCCCGGUUUAAGCGUGUAGGUGUGUGUUCCAGGUAAAUCCGGUUCACUUUAACACUGAGGCGUGACGACGAGGCACUACGGUGCUGAAGCAACAAAUGCCCUGCUUCCAGGAAAAGCCUCUAAGCAUCAGGUAACAUCAAAUCGUACCCCAAACCGACACAGGUGGUCAGGUAGAGAAUACCAAGGCGCUUGAGAGAACUCGGGUGAAGGAACUAGGCAAAAUGGUGCCGUAACUUCGGGAGAAGGCACGCUGACACGUAGGUGAAGUGAUUUACUCAUGGAGCUGAAGUCAGUCGAAGAUACCAGCUGGCUGCAACUGUUUAUUAAAAACACAGCACUGUGCAAACACGAAAGUGGACGUAUACGGUGUGACGCCUGCCCGGUGCCGGAAGGUUAAUUGAUGGGGUCAGCGCAAGCGAAGCUCCUGAUCGAAGCCCCGGUAAACGGCGGCCGUAACUAUAACGGUCCUAAGGUAGCGAAAUUCCUUGUCGGGUAAGUUCCGACCUGCACGAAUGGCGUAAUGAUGGCCAGGCUGUCUCCACCCGAGACUCAGUGAAAUUGAACUCGCUGUGAAGAUGCAGUGUACCCGCGGCAAGACGGAAAGACCCCGUGAACCUUUACUAUAGCUUGACACUGAACAUUGAGCCUUGAUGUGUAGGAUAGGUGGGAGGCUUUGAAGUGUGGACGCCAGUCUGCAUGGAGCCGACCUUGAAAUACCACCCUUUAAUGUUUGAUGUUCUAACGUGGACCCGUUACCCGGGUUGCGGACAGUGUCUGGUGGGUAGUUUGACUGGGGCGGUCUCCUCCUAAAGAGUAACGGAGGAGCACGAAGGUUGGCUAAUCCUGGUCGGACAUCAGGAGGUUAGUGCAAUGGCAUAAGCCAGCUUGACUGCGAGCGUGACGGCGCGAGCAGGUGCGAAAGCAGGUCAUAGUGAUCCGGUGGUUCUGAAUGGAAGGGCCAUCGCUCAACGGAUAAAAGGUACUCCGGGGAUAACAGGCUGAUACCGCCCAAGAGUUCAUAUCGACGGCGGUGUUUGGCACCUCGAUGUCGGCUCAUCACAUCCUGGGGCUGAAGUAGGUCCCAAGGGUAUGGCUGUUCGCCAUUUAAAGUGGUACGCGAGCUGGGUUUAGAACGUCGUGAGACAGUUCGGUCCCUAUCUGCCGUGGGCGCUGGAGAACUGAGGGGGGCUGCUCCUAGUACGAGAGGACCGGAGUGGACGCAUCACUGGUGUUCGGGUUGUCAUGCCAAUGGCACUGCCCGGUAGCUAAAUGCGGAAGAGAUAAGUGCUGAAAGCAUCUAAGCACGAAACUUGCCCCGAGAUGAGUUCUCCCUGAGACUUAGAGUCUCCUGAAGGAACGUUGAAGAC
This 1575-nucleotide ribosomal RNA is filed under the name Salmonella enterica subsp. enterica serovar Enteritidis. RNAcentral's name for it is "partial 23S ribosomal RNA". It matches the Rfam family "Bacterial large subunit ribosomal RNA", at positions 1292 to 2845 of the family's 2925-position model. The record is from RNAcentral. Lineage: Bacteria; Pseudomonadati; Pseudomonadota; Gammaproteobacteria; Enterobacterales; Enterobacteriaceae.